RNAcentral lists this long non-coding RNA (387 nucleotides) under Ananas comosus (pineapple). RNAcentral describes it as "long non-coding RNA (ACOM_LNC037237)". The record is from RNAcentral. Lineage: Eukaryota; Viridiplantae; Streptophyta; Magnoliopsida; Poales; Bromeliaceae.
UAACAUAUUAUGUGGAUUGAGUUAAAUUCGAACGGGCUAAUUAAUGUGGACACACCGCAUGGCAACAGCAUAAAUGUCAGAUAUUUGACAAACCAUAAGCUAUCGAAAAAUAAAUUAGAGUCCGGCUGGGAUACUAUUGAUAGCACCAAGCGUUUGGUAGUAUCAAGUUUUCCGCCGUUAGAUUUAACUCUUUGACUAUUUUUAUCCGUUAAAUUAUACUAUUAAACCAAUAACUUACUCUACCCUAGAGGCCCACAUCAUCUUAACCUUACAUUUUUUCAUCUACGGUGCUAGAUAAUAUAUUCCAGCCUAGUUCAUAUAAAUUAUGUACUUAUUGAUUGAUUUAAUGUAGAAAACUGACUCAUAAACAGUAAUAGUUUUAGGUAU